Molecule: transfer RNA, 66 nt
Filed under: Neodiprion lecontei (redheaded pine sawfly)
Lineage: Eukaryota; Metazoa; Arthropoda; Insecta; Hymenoptera; Diprionidae
Also listed under: 2 other names
Description: tRNA-His
Source: RNAcentral
AUUUAAAUAGUUUAUUUAAAAUAUUGAUUUGUGGUGUCAAAGAAAAUUAAAUUUAGUUUUUAAAUU